Molecule: ribosomal RNA, 1255 nt
Filed under: metagenome
Description: bacterial LSU rRNA
Rfam family: Bacterial large subunit ribosomal RNA
Source: RNAcentral
CCACACACGACCGUACCGCAAACCGACACUGGUGCGCGAGAUGAGUAUUCUAAGGCGCUUGAGAGAACUCAGGAGAAGGAACUCGGCAAAUUGACACCGUAACUUCGGAAGAAGGUGUGCCUUUAGUAGGUGAACCAUUUACUUGGGGAGCCCAAUGAGGCUGCAAAAAAUCGGUGGCUGCAACUGUUUAUUAAAAACACAGCACUCUGCUAAGACGAAAGUCGACGUAUAGGGUGUGACGCCUGCCCGGUGCUGGAAGAUUAAAUGAUGGGGUGCAAGCUCUUGAUUGAAGUCCCAGUAAACGGCGGCCGUAACAAUAACGGUCCUAAGGUAGCGAAAUUCCUUGUCGGGUAAGUUCCGACCUGCACGAAUGGCGUAAUGAUGGCCACACUGUCUCCUCCUGAGACUCAGCGAAGUUGAAAUGUUUGUGAUGAUGCAAUCUCCCCGCGGAAAGACGGAAAGACCCCAUGAACCUUUACUGUAGCUUUGUAUUGGACUUUGAACAGAUCUGUGUAGGAUAGGUGGGAGGCUUUGAAGUGUGGUCGCUAGAUCGCAUGGAGCCAACGUUGAAAUACCACCCUGGUGUGUUUGAGGUUCUAACCUAGGUCCAUUAUCUGGAUCGGGGACAGUGCAUGGUAGGCAGUUUGACUGGGGCGGUCUCCUCCCAAAGUGUAACGGAGGAGUUCGAAGGUACGCUAGGUACGGUCGGACAUCGUGCUAAUAGUGCAAUGGCAUAAGCGUGCUUAACUGCGAGACUGACAAGUCGAGCAGAUGCGAAAGCAGGACAUAGUGAUCCGGUGGUUCUGUAUGGAAGGGCCAUCGCUCAACUGAUAAAAGGUACUCUGGGGAUAACAGGCUGAUACCGCCCAAGAGUUCAUAUCGACGGCGGUGUUUGGCACCUCGAUGUCGGCUCAUCUCAUCCUGGGGCUGUAGCCGGUCCCAAGGGUAUGGCUGUUCGCCAUUUAAAGAGGUACGUGAGCUGGGUUUAAAACGUCGUGAGACAGUUUGGUCCCUAUCUUCCGUGGGCGCUGCAGAUUUGAGGAAGCCUGCUCCUAGUACGAGAGGACCGGAGUGGACGAACCUCUGGUGUAUCGGUUGUCACGCCAGUGGCAUUGCCGAGUAGCUAAGUUCGGAAGAGAUAACCGCUGAAAGCAUCUGAGCGGGAAACUCGUUUCAAGAUUAGAUCUGCCGGGGCCUUGAGCCCCCUAAAGAGUCGUUCAAGACCAGGACGUUGAUAGGUCAGGUGUGGAAGUGA